RNAcentral lists this long non-coding RNA (635 nucleotides) under Homo sapiens (human). Its description in RNAcentral is "long non-coding RNA NONHSAT148483.1". Lineage: Eukaryota; Metazoa; Chordata; Mammalia; Primates; Hominidae. The record is from RNAcentral.
CGCCCUGCCCCGUGAACCCUCUCCGCUGCCGCCUCCCCUCGCCCACCUCGACGGCCAUGUUCGUGGGUGGGGAGAGGCCAGCCCGACCCUCGGACGGCGGGACUCGCGGGCUACUUUAGGAGGAAGAGCAAGCUCCAUAACAGACAGAAGUUUAAAUUGUCAUUCCCAACUGCUAAUCAGGAAGCGGAAGUUAAACUCUUAGCAAAAUGGCAGCACCUGGAAAGACAAAUGGAGCCAAACUACCUGGGUUCAAAUCCUGACUCCACCACACGCUAGUUACCAAUGAUCCUGAUCUGCCCAAGGCUGAGGAGUUUCCCAGGAUAUGGGACUUUCACUGCUAAAACCAGGAUAGUCCCAUGCAAAGCAGCAUGGCUGAUCACCCUACUUGCUGCCAUGAGACUACCACCAUCCUCGAGGAUGAUAGAUCCCAAGGAGAGAGUGACCCAGUCAACAUCCAGCCCCAUCAGCAUGUGACUUAUCCAGCCCCAGUCCAGUCACCAGAUAAUAGCAAAUGCAUGAGUUAAUUCAGGUGAGACCAUCAGAACGAUCUAGCUGAACUUGUCUCAAAUUGCUGUCCUCUGUUGGAGUUUUUCUGCACAUAAAAAAUAAAAUUGCUGUCCUACAUAACUGUAAAC